This is a long non-coding RNA of Vespula pensylvanica (western yellowjacket), 766 nucleotides long. RefSeq lists it as uncharacterized. The record is from RefSeq and is a predicted model, not a curated record. NCBI's taxonomy places the organism in Eukaryota, Metazoa, Arthropoda, Insecta, Hymenoptera, Vespidae. The transcript is spliced from 2 exons.
ACGACGACGUUGACGACGACGACGACGACGUUGACGACGACGACGACGACGACGACGACGACGGUCACGACGAAGAAGACAACGACAAAGACGAACCAUGAGGAUGAAAGAAGCAGCAGAGAGUGCCUUCAGUGAUCACAGGUACUACACGCGCAUCGCGUCAGCAUUGUCAUCAGUAACUAACCACCACUACCAGUAUUACCAACAUCAGCAUCAGCAUCUGCAGUAGCAGCGACAAUAGCAGUAACAGCAGUAUCAGCAGUCAACGACUACAACAACAAUAUCAAAAGAGCUGCUUAAAAGUUCGCGUCCCUUUUAAAAUCUACGAUAAUAUAUCGUUUAUACGUUAUCAGAGAUCAGCUGAUUUAUUCGUUAAAUCGCAUGUCAAUUAUUCCAAUCGUCGUUGCUUAAUCGCGAAACAAUUAUUGUCAUUAUUUUCAAAUCACAAUGUGUAGGAUCCAAAAGUUCUUAAAGCGAAUUUUAAAAAUUCCAUUCCGUGAAAAAAGUAAUCACUUUUCGUGAUAUUGACUUUCAAAAUUGUUGUCGAACUACGCACUUACAUAAUUAAUCUUUUUCUUUCUUUCUUCCUUUUUUUUUUUUUUUUUAAAUCUUUUAUUUUUGUCUUUGAUUUUAUCUAUCUUGCAGUACUUGAAUUUUAUAUAAACGCGUUGGAAUAGCUUGUAAAAACAUGAGAUUGAACAAGAGGAAAAAUAGAUAUGCCGAGCACGGUGUAAAAUAUUUUAUUAAAAAGUAUUAUUUUUGCGAU